This 1116-nucleotide long non-coding RNA is filed under the name Papio anubis (olive baboon). Its description in RNAcentral is "lncRNA (ENSPANG00000042654.1)". Lineage: Eukaryota; Metazoa; Chordata; Mammalia; Primates; Cercopithecidae. The record is from RNAcentral.
AUGCACCAUAAACGGCUCCUUUCAGGCCCUUUCAGAGCGGGAGCGCGGAGGUCACCGUGUCUACAAACCCCUCUGUGUCCGCCACGUCUCCUGGGCCCUGGGCGCUCAGGCCUCCAGCCGCAGAGCACGCCUGCCCGUGGGAAUCCCAACACUUGUGCUCUGCGAGGCCGGCGGGGCGGGGGCGGGGAAGUGGGACCACCCGGCCCUCCCCAAGCCCUGCCGCCUCCGCCCUCCCCGCCGCUCGUUCACAGAGCGCAGCGAGUGGAACGAAUUGGGUGCGCAGUCCUCAGACGCUGGCGGAAAUCAAAUGAUAAGGCGAGGUGGGACACCCGCUCUCCGCCCCACGGCCGACGUCCACCCCACGGCAAAGGUAUCACGCGGUGUGUCCCGCCUCCCGGCACCGCGAGAGGCGGGAUGACUCUGCCUGGGCCCCGGCGCAGCCAAAGGCCCGGCUCGGUGGGGCGCGAUCCCAGAUCGGCGCGCACAGCCCUCCGAGGGCCAGGUUGGAUUGGGUGCGGUUGUACCUGUGGCGUGGGUGACCCAGUGACUGGGACCCGGGCCAGUGCUGUCAGAUGUGCACGUCCUGGGCGGGGCUGGCGGCCGAGUGUCACUAGUAGCGGCGGCGGCGAGGCAGCCAUUUGCCGCCUCCCAAGCCCGGCGGUGCGCGCAGGGCUUGGAGCACUCGGUGCUGAGACGCGAAUGCGUAUAAAGAGAAAAGUGUUUCCAAUGUUUCCCCAAAAUGGGGAACAGGGAAGAAGGACAAGUAUCAUGCAAGACGCCACGGCCACCUGUCUUUUGCCGACCAUUCUGCCUUCUUUUCCGGUGGCCUGGCUCUGGGCACCGAAAGGCGGGGAGAGGGCGCCGCGCCCUAGAGCCAGCCGCGCUCGGGGACCGCAGGCGGCGCUGGCCCAGGCCACCCAAGUCCAGCAGACGAGCCCUCGUCCUGCGGGGGACCGGGCCGGAGGCCAGGGGGACGGCAGUGUCGCCGGAGGGAGCGCGCAGUCCAAGGCCGGUGCUCCGGCCCCGCGCGCCCCCUCCCGGGUCCGCAGGGAACCCGGGUUACCUGGGGAGCCGGGCUUUGUCGGCCACGCUGGCUCUCCGAGGCCCCAGAACUAA